GACGAACGCUGGCGGCGUGCCUAAUACAUGCCAGUCGAACGCUGAAGGAGGAGCUUGCUCUUCUGGAUGAGUUGCGAACGGGUGAGUAACGCGUAGGUAACCUGCCUGGUAGCGGGGGAUAACUAUUGGAAACGAUAGCUAAUACCGCAUAACAGUAGAUGUUGCAUGACAUUUACUUAAAAGGUGCAAUUGCAUCACUACCAGAUGGACCUGCGUUGUAUUAGCUAGUUGGUGGGGUAACGGCUCACCAAGGCGACGAUACAUAGCCGACCUGAGAGGGUGAUCGGCCACACUGAGACUGAGACACGGCCCAGACUCCUACGGGAGGCAGCAGUAGGGAAUCUUCGGCAAUGGACGGAAGUCUGACCGAGCAACGCCGCGUGAGUGAAGAAGGGUUUCGGAUCGUAAAGCUCUGUUGUAAGAGAAGAACGAGUGUGAGAGUGGAAAGUUCACACUGUGACGGUAGCUUACCAGAAAGGGACGGCUAACUACGUG
RNAcentral lists this ribosomal RNA (495 nucleotides) under uncultured bacterium. RNAcentral describes it as "partial 16S ribosomal RNA". It matches the Rfam family "Bacterial small subunit ribosomal RNA", at positions 28 to 507 of the family's 1533-position model. The record is from RNAcentral.